RNAcentral lists this ribosomal RNA (680 nucleotides) under Trentepohlia annulata. RNAcentral describes it as "eukaryotic LSU rRNA". The stretch from base 203 to 357 matches the Rfam family "5.8S ribosomal RNA". The record is from RNAcentral. Lineage: Eukaryota; Viridiplantae; Chlorophyta; Ulvophyceae; Trentepohliales; Trentepohliaceae.
CCGUAGGUGAACCUGCGGAAGGAUCAUUUAAUUCGAUCAUAACACCGCCAAUCAUGGUAACCUCUAGUGUCUACUUCCGGGGGGGUUUCUCCGUAUCCCCCCCGGGGUUGUUAACCACACAACCGCUAAAGCGUUUUAUCACGACCAAGCAAAGCCGGGCAAGGGACCCCGCCGUCCCGGACCCCGCAAACUAAACAACAAUAACCCCUAACAACGGAUGUCUUGGCUCUCGCAWCGAUGAAGAACGCAGCGAAAUGCGAUAACGUAGUGUGAAUUGCAGAAUUACGUGAAUCAUCGAAUCUUUGAACGCAUAUGGCACCCGAGACCUCGGUCGAGGGUAUGUCUGCCUCAGAGUCGGCGUAAAACAUCCCCUCGGAUCGCUUUCGCGCGAUACCUUGAGGGGGAGCUGGUCCUCCCAGCGUUAGUCUCCGAGUGAGAGCGCGCCGCUGGGUUGACCGAAGGGCAGAGACGGGUGGGCUGGUGGUCGAUACACCACUGGGUAUCACGAUUAGAUGGGAGGAGGGAGCGAUCCCGGCAUCCGCACAUCGUCGUGUGCCCCUUGAGGUGGACCAUGGGUACCCCCCGCCGAUCGCAGGAAAGAGAAGCAAGCAACAAAGCUUUUCGACCUGAGUUCAGGCAAGAUCACCCGCUGAACUUAAGCAUAUCAAUAAGCGGAGGAA